AUACUAAUAUAUGGAUAAUACAUAUCUAACGUUGUAUCUAUCUGUUCCUAUCAGCCUCACAUCUGAUACAUUCGCCAUCGAGAAACAACAAAUGUUAAACUAAUUUUAGGAAUUAGGCGGAGUGUUUAGUAGUUUGCUCUGCCGCGGGUCGGCCCGAUAUUGCAGUACUGUCGGGAUUUUGGCCCAUCUGAC
Molecule: small nuclear RNA, 192 nt
Organism: Teleopsis dalmanni
Lineage: Eukaryota; Metazoa; Arthropoda; Insecta; Diptera; Diopsidae
Product: U2 spliceosomal RNA
Exons: 1
Source: RefSeq, a predicted model, not a curated record